AGCGUAGACGGAUGGACAAGUCUGAUGUGAAAGGCUGGGGCUCAACCCCGGGACUGCAUUGGAAACUGCCCGUCUUGAGUGCCGGAGAGGUAAGCGGAAUUCCUAGUGUAGCGGUGAUAUGCGUAGAUAUUAGGAGGAACACCAGUGGCGAAGGCGGCUUACUGGACGGUAACUGACGUUGAGGCUCGAAAGCGUGGGAGCAAACA
RNAcentral lists this ribosomal RNA (206 nucleotides) under uncultured bacterium. Its description in RNAcentral is "partial 16S ribosomal RNA". It matches the Rfam family "Bacterial small subunit ribosomal RNA", at positions 568 to 774 of the family's 1533-position model. The record is from RNAcentral.